This 307-nucleotide ribosomal RNA is filed under the name Trypanosoma sp. RNAcentral's name for it is "SSU rRNA". It matches the Rfam family "Eukaryotic small subunit ribosomal RNA", at positions 1477 to 1780 of the family's 1831-position model. The record is from RNAcentral. Lineage: Eukaryota; Euglenozoa; Kinetoplastea; Trypanosomatida; Trypanosomatidae.
AUGUUCUGGGCGACACGCGCACUACAAUGUCAGUGAGAACAAGAAAAACGACUUCUGUCGGACCUACUUGAUCAAAAGAGUGGGAAAACCCCGGAAUCACAUAGACCCACUUGGGACCGAGUAUUGCAAUUAUUGGUCGCGCAACGAGGAAUGUCUCGUAGGCGCAGCUCAUCAAACUGUGCCGAUUACGUCCCUGCCAUUUGUACACACCGCCCGUCGUUGUUUCCGAUGAUGGUGCAAUACAGGUGAUCGGACAGUCGGGUGUUUCAUCUGACCGAAAGUUCACCGAUAUUUCUUCAAUAGAGGA